ACCCCGGAAGGGGAGUGAAAGAGAUCCUGAAACCGUGUGCCUACAACUAGUCAGAGCCCGUUAACGGGUGAUGGCGUGCCUUUUGUAGAAUGAACCGGCGAGUUACGGUAUCGUGCAAGGUUAAGCUGAUGAAGCGGAGCCGCAGCGAAAGCGAGUCUGAAUAGGGCGCAUUAGUACGAUGCCGUAGACCCGAAACCGGGUGAUCUACCCAUGUCCAGGGUGAAGGUCGGGUAACACCGACUGGAGGCCCGAACCCACGCAAGUUGAAAAUUGCGGGGAUGAGGUGUGGGUAGGGGUGAAAUGCCAAUCGAACUCGGAAAUAGCUGGUUCUCCCCGAAAUAGCUUUAGGGCUAGCCUCGAGUGAUGAGUCUUGGAGGUAGAGCACUGAUUGGACGAGGGGUCCCCACAGGAUUACCGAAUUCAGUCAAACUCCGAAUGCCAAUGACUUUAACUCGGGAGUCAGACUGCGAGUGCUAAGAUCCGUAGUCAAGAGGGAAACAGCCCAGACCAUCAGCUAAGGUCCCCAAGUAUACGUUAAGUGGAAAAGGAUGUGGAGUUGCCCAGACAACCAGGAUGUUGGCUUAGAAGCAGCCAUCAUUGAAAGAGUGCGUAAUAGCUCACUGGUCGAGUGACUCUGCGCCGAAAAUGUACCGGGGCUAAACGUAUCACCGAAGCUAUGGCAAUCCCGUAAGGGAUUGGGUAGGGGAGCGUUCCAAGGACAGCGAAGCUAGAUCGUGAGGACUAGUGGAGUGCUUGGAAGUGAGAAUGCCGGUAUGAGUAGCGAAAAGAUAGGUGAGAAUCCUAUCCGUCGAAAGCCCAAGGUUUCCUGAGGAAGGCUCGUCCGCUCAGGGUUAGUCGGGACCUAAGCCGAGGCCGAAAGGCGUAGGCGAUGGACAACAGGUUGAUAUUCCUGUACCACCUCGUAUUCGUUUGAACGAUGGGGGGACGCAGAAAGGUAGGGUGAGCGCGCCGCUGGCUGUGCGCGUCGAAGCAUGCGAGGCUGGAACAUAGGCAAAUCCGUGUUCCAUAAGGCUGAGCUGUGACCGUGAAGGACCUUCGGGUCCGAAAUCCCUGAUCCUCCGCUGCCGAGAAAAGCCUCUAGUGAGAAUACAGGUGCCCGUACCGCAAACCGACACAGGUAGGCGAGAAGAGAAUUCUAAGACGCUCGGGAGAACUCUCGUUAAGGAACUCGGCAAAAUGACCCCGUAACUUCGGGAGAAGGGGUGCUCUAGUAGGGUUAA
RNAcentral lists this ribosomal RNA (1241 nucleotides) under Shouchella clausii. Its description in RNAcentral is "partial 23S ribosomal RNA". It matches the Rfam family "Bacterial large subunit ribosomal RNA", at positions 523 to 1765 of the family's 2925-position model. The record is from RNAcentral. Lineage: Bacteria; Bacillati; Bacillota; Bacilli; Caryophanales; Bacillaceae.